AAAGCUUCAGAAUUGAAAGAACGAUUUUGCAAGAAAACAAUCGAACGUUGGGAUUCUUUUUCUCGUAUUUCUGUGGCUUAGUUGCUCGAUUGAAAUAUGAUGGUCUCGUAAAGGUGAUAAAAAAUCAUUUAUAUAGGCUUGUAUAUUAGGUUAACUUUAUCGAUGAUUACCAUUGAAUCUAAUAUUUGCACUUAUUAUUAUUAUUAGAUAUAAAAGAGACGACCAUUAUUCAUAUGCUCCUUUCGUACGCUUAUAAUACCUUGCUUUAAUUAAUCUCAUAUAGUUUGUAGUUAAUGUAUCUAGCGAAAAAAUGAAAAUAGAAUUUGGACCUACCAAUUUUCCAAUUGAAUAUAAUGCUGCCACAUAGGAUUAAUUGAGUACUUAAUUGAUUGACACCUAAGCGGAGACUUUUUUUAAAUAUUACAAACUUGAGGUUACAUCUUUUUAAAUGUUUCUCAAUUAAUAUAUAGGGGAUAAUAUAUAUGUGUAUAUAAAUGUGGGUGUGGGUGUGAAGAUGCUCGAUUACGAUUACAAGUUGAGACACUUGUCGUCUCUUUUCUUUCCUUUUAAUGUUUUGCUCUCUCCUCCCCCUCAAAACCCAACUUCUGAUAACUAAAAUUUUCAUUGGAUAGCAAUUCAUAUUCUCUGUAUCUUCCGUAAUUAAUUAAUAAGUUUCGAGUAUAUAGCUAGGGUUGAUGUGAGAUUUGUAUAUCUAGAUGGAUCUAUUUCUAUGUUGGUUUUGGGAGGCUGAAGCUGCCAGCAUGAUCUGGUAAUCGCUACAUACGACAUAUAUACAUACACAUGCUAAUUUAAUUUACUUCCACAUAUAUCAAUGUAUCUCUCAAAUAAUAUAUAAUCUUUUUUUUUUUUGCUAACAUUUGGAUCAUAUAUAAUCUUAGUGUUAAAAAUGUGUUUUCUCCUCUUUUUCAUGGAUGCAUGCAUGUAUGUGUGUGUAUAAGUGUAUAGAUAGUGGUACCAGAUCAUCCUGCGGCUUCAUUCACUCAAAUCACCAACAAUGAACUUAAGCUUCUUAAGAAAAACGAUUCCAGUCGACUUUUACGACUUCCCUGGGUUAUCAUUGGAGGUACCAUUGACUAAGGAUCAAGCCUUCUAUAAUAUAGGUUGUGACACAAGUAACCAGUGGUUGGUAUUAGAUUAUCUGCGUUAAUCAGCACGAGAACAACUCGCCAACUCCAGCCUUUGUUUCCAAGAUCUUUCAUUUGGAGCUGGAGAACACAUGAUCGAUAUAUGGAUUGUAUUAAGAUCAUGCAUAUUAAUUUCCUUACUUAUACUUGCAUCCAUUAUGUCUUUUGUUCAUUCGUAAGGAUUUAGUGGUUUGUCGAAACAAUAAGUACAACGCCCUUUUAUAGUAUGUUUUAGAACUUUUUACAAAAUUAUCUAUGCAAACUGUAUACUCCUUAAUUUUUUUUAUGAAUGUUUGUAAUAUGCAGCAGUCUUUUCUAUUGCUUGAAUUUUUUUGUAGGUAUUACUUCACUGUAGAAACUUUAUCACGUAUGGCUUCAUAAUUUUAACGCUUUUAACCAAAAAGUCUUAAUACAAAAAACAUAUGCAAUUGCUUAACAGAAGAACAACAUUGUAAUCUGUAUCACAAUUCACACUAUUAGUAUAUAUUUUGUGGGAAUAUAAGUUCUGAUCUCGUAACAAUAGUAGACGGACACUACUCGCAGUUUAUUGAAAAUGAUGUUGGUUUGACCUAAGUUUUGGACUUUUAAUACAAAGAUUUCUAACGCUGAUAAGGAAAAAUUAUCUAUCUCUAUAGUAUUAUUUGAGAAAUUAGGAAAUCCUACGUGUUGCACUCAAUUUAGUCUUUAUGACGGUUAAAUAUAGAGAUAGAAUUUAUGAAUAAAAAUUUCAUUUAAACUCCAGACUAAUUUUUAAUUUAAUAAUUUAUUUUAAUUAGAUUUUUUUGUUUAGUUUCUGUCUUAUUUUUUCUAAGAACAUUAUAAUAAUAAAGGAAGCAUUUAGAAAGCUUAAAAACAAAUUAUAAACGAAAGUAUAUUUAUAUAUGAUGUGUUUUCAUAUAAAAAGAAGAAGGAAAUUUCACAAAAAUAUUCUUAAUAUUAAUACACAAAAUAAUCUUCCCUUUAACACAUAAUUUUAAGAAACAUAAAAUAUUUCAAUUUGGUCAUCUAUGCAAUUUCCUAUCAAUCCUCGCUUUAUUUUUUCUAAUAUUUUUUAAAAAAAUUUAUUAAUAAUAUUGCGAAAAUAUACUUAGAUAAAUAAAAAUAAUUAGAAUUAACUUUAUUAUAAUCAAAAAUAGUUACACUACAAUUUGAAGUUAAAAUAAUAUAUGUAGUUUAAUAUACUCACAAAAUGAGUAAUUCAACUAAUUCAGUUUAUUAUAUCCAAAAUCAAAUAUCUAACUAAAAUAAUAAUAUACUAUUUUAUAAUAAUAUUUUCUUUAUUUUAUAAUUUUAAUUAUCAGAUGACUCAAAACAUUUUAAUAAUGAAAAAUAAGUUAUUAAUCAGUUGUUACAAUAUAAAUAUAUUAGUUUUUUUUGUAAAAUUUAUAUAUGCAUGAGAUUUCAAAAUACUGUCCUUAUAUUCAUUUAAUUUUAAAUCGAACACUUUUUUUCUAUUUUACUCUCAAAACAAUAUAUAUUUUGUUAUACAUAAUCUUACUGAACUAUAUUUACAUAUUUGAGACAACAAUCAAUCAAAAUGCAAAAUAAAUAAAGUAAUCAGAAAAAAUAUGUCUAACUAAUACAAUAUAAUACUAUUAACCGUACUGAAUAGAUAUUACAUAUACAAAAUCAUAUGUCUAACUAAUACAAUAUAAUACUAUUAAUUGAAAUUAUACAAAAUAAUUAUAAAUAAUUUAAAACGAAAAAUAAAAUAUCAAUCUAUUAUUAUAAUACAUUUAUUUUAUAAAUUAUAUUCGUGGAUGAGUACCGAAAGGAUCACCUAGUUAAAUAUUAAUUAACACUGUACAAUUACAGAAGUUAGAGAAGUGAGAACUAGUAUAUUCAACAAAGUCAUCCACGACAAACAAUAAUUUUUUUGAGGAAUGAAUGGCAAGAAAUGUGAUUGUAUAUCAAACAUAACGUGACCAGUCAGUUAGUAAAACUUUCUUGAUCACUAAGUAAUGUGCAGGUAAGUAGUCACAUCGGUAACCACUUUUCUUAAACAACCUUGAAAAAAAAACCUUUUAUAUGUUGAUUAAGCUGUCUAACCACCACAUGUAAUUGCCUUCAAAAUAAUAAUUAAGAAUAGUGAUGGAAAACAGAACUGAUAUACUAUUGUUUGGAGGAUUUUAGAGAUCUUCCGAACAAUUAUUUUGUUUUUCAACUAAUAUUAAAUUGAACCAUUAUUUUAUUUCACCGAAGAUGAUCGAUUGCGCUUAUGUAUUCUAUUAAAAUAUACUCAUUAUUUUUAUCUACUAUUGACAAGUCAUAAUAAAAUUAUUUAAAUAAUUACUUUAACAUAAUUGAUUAUUUACAUGAAACAAUCAAAUACAUUACAUUUCUAAAAAUCUUAAUAUUUUUAAUAAUGAUAUUAAUAAUAAAACUAGAAAUUUUAAUUUUUUUGGUAGUAACAAAAUCGUCCGAGAAACAAAAUCUGACAAAAAUUCUACUAAUAUUUUUAAAUAUGUUUAUAAAUAAUUAAUUAAUUAAUUUCGUGUUAGUAAUAUAAUACUAUUAUAAAUUAAUGUUAAUUAAAAUUUUAUAAUAAGUCAAAAACAAUUCUAUGCUAUUUGUUAGAAAUUUAUAACUAUAAUUUAUAUUAUAUUAAAAUAGAAGUACUAUAUGAAUUAAAUAUGAGAGAAUACUAAAUUGGUAAAUUAAUUAUUAACCUAUUAUAUAUUUUUUAAAAAUAGUUACAUUUAAAUAAAUUAUCAUCUAUAUCUUAUUAAAAUAAAAGUACAAAGUAAAAUUACCCUUUUGAUUUGAAACUUAUUUACACUUCUAUGCCCCUAAUAUAUUUAAUGAUUCUAAAUUUAAGUUUCCUUUGUCCUUUUUCAGUUCAGUUAAUGUACUAAAAUAAUUAAUAGCCUACAUUUUAGGAUUUUUUUUGUCUUUUUCUAUUUAAUUAAUACAUUUUCCUAAAUCUAAUUUUAACUAAAAAUCAUGGUAAUAAUUAUUUAAGAAAAUCAAUUUGUAAUUACUAUUACUAGAGAUUUUCCCGCCCGGGUUUUUUUGUAUAUAUUAAAUGAAUUAUAUAUAAUUUUAUCAGAGUAUUUGAAUAUAAAAUAUUAAUUAUUUCUUUGUUCAUUUUUUCAUUUCCAAGUUAAAGUUCAGUAAACCAAUGUAUAUCCGCCAAUUUCAUUUGCCAAAAAUUUCAGCCGAGAGUAUUUUUACCGAGUUGGACCACUUCAGCCGAGAGUAUUUUUACAGAACAUGAAAUAGUUCAUUCGGAGAGGAAUAUGAAUUUAUUUCAAUUUUAUACCGACUUUUAUGUUUACUUCAACAAAGAUGUUUUAUAUUUUAUAAUUUAGCAAUAGUUCACUAAUAAAUUAAGAUCAAUAAUGUUUGAUCUUUUAGGUGUAUUAGUUGAAUUGGUUAUUAAUUAACUGAAAUUUUUUUAGUUACAUUGAAAUGAUAAAAAUUAUUUAUAAAUUUAUGUACUUUAUUUUAUUUAAGUUUAACUAUGUUUUCUUGUUAAUCUUUUGUCUUUAACGUUUGCAUAUUUUGGUUUAAUUUUUUACAGUGUAGUGUAUUUUUAUAUAUUCAUCUAAUCGUAUUGUGGAAGGUAAAUACAAUUUCGCAAAUUAGUUCAAACUCCAAUUUUUCAUUUUAUUUUUUAAAAAACAUUUUUAAACAUUUAACAUACUAUAUGAAAUCUGUAGGUUGUUGUUUGUCACAGAAAUUAUCUAACAGGAUAUUUAUGAUUGAUAUAGUAUCUUAAAUUUUGUUUUUCCAUUUAUAUUACUCUAUCUUUACAUGUUUAUUUAUUUAUAUUUGGCUUAUAGUUAAUGGAAUAUAUUUGAUGCUUUUUAUUUUAUUUGGUUAAGCCUUUGUUAUUACAUGCCCAACUCUGUUUCGUGUCUGCCAUAGUUAGACUUAAAAUUGUCUCUCCUUGUAAUGCUUUCAGGACACAUAUGUGUACUGUUUAUCAACCAUGAAGAUCGAGUACAUUGUAUCAUCGGACUAAGGAAAACGCAAACCUGAAACGCACUACCUCUCCAGAAAAAGAUCUUCAAAGAUUAUGUAUUCGCGAUACAUAGCUUUGAUUAUCUCCAGGCCACAUAUAGAAAAACAGUGAGAAGAGUAUACAUAAACAACAGAGAAAUAUUCUCAAAGUAGGAGCUCCCUUUAGUCUGUAGCAACCAUUCUCCACAAUUCAUCCAUAUCGAUCCUUUGAUAUUGGUUUUGUACAACAUAUGAUGGUAACACAUCAUCUCUUAAAUGUGUGAUGCUAUCUUUGACAGAAAAUGCAUAAGAUUUGCGCCUUUAACAAUGGUGUUGGCGAUCUCGAAAGAUAAGAUUGAGAUCUUAUUCCAUUUAGUCAUCGUUGCAGAAAAAAUACCCCAUAUAAAACCCUCGAUAACUGCAACAUGACAGGAAAAAUAUAUUUUUAGGACAAUACCAUAAAACUUAUAAACUAAUAGUCAAAUACAUAAGAUGGUCUGAUGUGAGACACACACUUACCAUGUAAUCUCCCAACAAAAAUGUUAAGAUACUAAGCUCCAAACCUUGAGAAGUCAUCAUCAAUAGCAUCAUAGGAAUAAAACCCAGAGUAAACUGUUCUACUAUCAAAUUGAGUAGCUACCUGAGUUGUAUAAGAUUGUGAGAUCUAAUUCUGGAGUUGUAUAUGAGUGGCUACCAUCCUAUUGUGAGCUCCUUAUCAAAUCUUCUUCCAAAAUAAGAUUUUGGGCUCAGCUGAAACCAAAGUAGUUCUUUCAAAACUACCACGCUUUCCAAAUGUUAUAAGAUAAUAACUUUUCAUUGGACCACUGGUUUUAGCAUUUUAAAGUUUUUUGUAGCCUUGUGUUCCUUAAACUUGAUGGGUUGACAAAAAGGAAACUAGAAGUCAAAAGAACCACCAGUGAUAAGCACAUACAGCUUUGCAUGCUGAGAUGGAAGGGUUACUUUAGGCAGCCUCAUAUAUGAGAGACAGAAGGAUCACUUCGGUACGGUUUGAGACGGACUGCUUGGACUUAGUGGAUAUGACUACAAACCCGAUGGACUGGCCAACAUUCGCGACAGAGAUCGAGGUGUUCCAGAUGUUACAGGAUGACUUCGAAGAUGUGAGACUAUCUCAUAUUCCUCGGAGUCGGAAUGGCCGGGCAGACAUGUUAGCAAACGAUGCAAGGACCAGAGGUUAUAUUUUCUCCCAUAUAGAUCAUACCCGAACAGAUGGAGAUGCUCCUCGGAGGAUCGGCUUGUCUGUUCUCCACUUGAUUUAGCUUAGAUGGGUAGACGACAAAAAGAAAGCACACACAAAAAUACAAUCUGAAACUAAUGUACUUAAAUAUUACGCAUUUGCACGGAUGAAGAAUGAAUAUAAUCGAAGAUAACAAAAGGAUAACUUACUUGUUCAGAACUAUCAUAAUACUCCUUUCCAGCCAGCAUAGUAAUGAUCGAGAGCUGACGUAUUGCUUCCCCUGUAUUUCGAAGUAUAACAUAACACAUUAAAACCACAACUAAACCAGUUUUGAAGAAGGUGGAAAUUACCCUUUUAUGUUAACAUAAUAUAUAGUGAGGGAGGAUCGAUAUUGAACAGGCUGGAUGAUUUUCCUCUGUUAUAGUCAUGUAGACAUUUUGAUGAAGCAUGGUAUGGAAGACAGCAGUUACACCUGAGAUUUGGAAAGGCAGUGAAGGUUUAGGGUUACAUGGAAAAGGAGAGAGAUGAAGCGGCUGGAGGCCUGUAAAUCAGACGGAAGCGUAAUCCCGAAUCCAAUGGUUUGGUGAGUUGUCAUUGAAUUAUAGAGAAGCAUGAGACUCACCUGAGGUUUGAACAGGUGUGAAGAAUCGAUGUAAUUUUCUAAAAAUGAUUUAUAUAAGAAGAGAAACAAAGGGAGGUAGAAAGAUAGAUAGCUCACUCAUCAAGAUAGGAGUUAAGAAAAGAUUGAGAGUGGAUCAGAAACGAAGAUUUUCAUUAAUAAUUGGCAACAAUGAUGGAGAAGUGAAAGAGACAAAUGAACGUGAAAGGUUAGUGUAAAUUCCGAGUAAGGAAGCCAGUGACGUGGCAAAUGAAAUACAUCUGAUUGGGUGAUUUAAUUUGCUGAGAUGGAUAGCCUCAAUGCUCUGGUUCAAUCUCUUUUAUAUAUUGGGAUAUACAUAUCUUAUACAAUAAAGCUGAGUUUUCUCUCACCUCAGCUCUCCACGUCCUCAAGGAGAGUGGGGCUUUUGCCGACACGUGUCAGCAUCAGAAAACUCUUUGUUAUUGGUUUGUGUGAAUCGCCUACUACGAAACUCGAUCGUCAUCGGUUACAAAUCAAUUACUCUCCUCUUUUGUAAUCGAUUCACAUAAAACUGUAUUUAGAAAGCUAUACGAGUGGUUGAGGGAUUAGGUUUUGAGAUCCCGAAUCGUCUGAGAGGACGACUAACACGGAGGCGGAGGAUGGGCUGGAGAUGGAAGGAAGUUGGGUAGAAAGGACGCUGGAGGGAGUAGUAUUGGUGAUGAAGCUAGCUUGCAGCGAUGACGUAGCGGACAGAGAUGAUGGCGAUAGUUGAUUAUAACAUGAGAGGUAAGUAUUUCCGUGAGUGAGUGAUAGAAUGAUUAUGAUGGUAGCUUAUUUUCUUUGAAGUAAAUUGUCAAGAGGUAUACUGAACAGCUUUUGCAAUGUCUCCACCUGCUAAAAAGUUCUACAGAAGCAGAGGAAAAAAAGAUCAAACUCUUGGUAAGUUUCAAGUGUAUAAGAGCUGGUUAUUGACUCCAAAUUUUGUUUCUUACAAUUAUUAUGCAUGCUAUCUUUGAGUCUUCAUUAUCUUCCUCAUUGUUCUAUUCUUCAAUUUUUGUCCAGCGGUGGAUUUUUUUGACAUAGACUGAAAGCUUGAGAUGUUGUUCCAGUUGUAAAAAGGAGGAUUUUUUUAAUAAUAUGUAAAAUUCCAUUGGUUACCUGCAGACAAAGACAUGGAAAAGGAUACGUGCAACUUUAAGUCAAUGACAUAUGAUGAUCCAAUGGAUUUUGGGUUUGGCUUACCAGAAAAUAAAGAUAAGAAGCAGAAUUCGUUCAAGGUGUGAGUGUAACAACAUCAUAUGCUUCUUAGACGUAUCCUUUUGAUCAUAAUGUGGGUAAAGUUUACUCUUCUCAGAUGCUCAGUACACUCACGUGAGCUUCACUUCCUGUUCUCGCUAUAUUACCUUGCCAUAAAAUUGAUAUGGUAAGAGCUUAAUGAUGUAUAGAAUGUGAUUAUUAUCUUUUAAGUUGAAGGCAUGGUUUCUAUAUGGUGUGUUUAUGAAAUUCAUAUGUAUAAAAGAGAUGAUGAGCUUUCUGUAUUGAAAGAGGGGGUCUUCUUUUGAUAUCCCAGAACUGGAUGUUGUAAAAUGUAUGUCGAAUUGAUUUGCUUUAAUUUGAGUUGUUAGAUGUGACCACGAGGAGGCAAAUUCAGUAGACGAGCGUUUGUCAUUUCUUUCACGAUACUGAGGACAGUGACUUGAAAAUGCUUCAGAAGAAAACAGAGGUGGUAUUCUUCUUCUUGAAGGUAAAACAUAAGCCAAAUUGAAGAGAAGUAUCAGAAGAGCAAGGGUUGCAAGAUAAACCAUUCUUUCGCUUCUAUUAAGAGAAACCAUGUCGUCUGAAAAAGACAGAAACGUCUACCGAAGCCUCUUCAGUUUGCACUGACUCUACACCGACAAAUAUCUUGAACUCAUGUUGUCUCUCAGUUCUGACUCAUGCCUUACUCCCCCACCAAAAUUCUUACACAACAAUAGACAAGGAUAGAACAAACUUUAUCUGAUCACCGCCCAUACAGGUUCGAUUGAUGGACUACGCCCUACAUACUACGGCUUCACAUCAAGAGGUUAGAACUUACCUACCAUUCUUCUCAUGUUUUUACAGCAAUUCACCAUGAAAAGAAUAUAUGAAAUAUAUAUUUUGGUCAAUAUUGCAGGCUCUACAAUAGUUUCAAAUUACAUAAAUUAAAUGUAAAUGUAAAUCAUCAAUACAGCUUCAUGCCCUCCGAACCAAGUUGAUUUUAAUCCCUCCCUAAAUUAUUCACUCUCUAUUAUAUAGAGACAAGUCUGUUCCACUGUGUAACGUGGUGAUAUAUUCAUACUUUCUUUCAUACCAGAUAUUCAAUUGAUAGUGAGAACUCAGAGACUAUACAAUUUAUAGCAAACGUCAUCCCCAGUCCAGCACCAACCAACGCUGAUUCUCCACAAGGAAGCAUUGCUUACGGAAUAAUACUCACCGACAUCUUCCAAAACAGGUGAAAAUCUGAAAAUUUCUUAAGAAAUAUUACCUCAUUUUCCAUUGGUAGGAAAUAUUGUUCCCAAGUACCAAACAAACACAUUUAAGCUUCACUUGCUUGGAGCCAGUAAGUUUCUGUGUUUUUUUUGCUUGGAAUAUUGCUAACUAUAAAGAGCUAAAUGUAAAGAAGAAGAUCUUUACAGUUUAUCAAAUUUUGGGUACUAAUUCUAUCUGCAAAGCUCAUGUUAUUUCUUAUAUAUAACAUUCAUGUUACCGAUCCAACGGACGAAAGGUAUGAGAGAAUAGAGACAUAUCACAUCUUUUAUCACGGCCUUAGAGAAAGACGUGGGCAAGAAGAUCCAAGAGAAAGAUCAGGAGAUGAUGACCAAUGGUUAGAGAUCAGGAGAUGAUGACCAAAGGUUAGAAGUGUUGAGAAUAACUCAUAGGAGGGUAUACGCAUCCUUUAGUUAGUGUAUGCUGUAGGAUGUUGAUUUAAAUAGAUCCAUGACUAACAACUUUCCCAGUGUCUGAAACAUUGAUUGUAAAUGUUAGAAACUUAGAAUCAAUAUAAUACUGAUUUAUAUUAUUUUCUUGAGCAUUUUGAAAAAAAAUUAA
Long non-coding RNA from Brassica napus (rape), 9931 nucleotides. RefSeq lists it as uncharacterized. The transcript is spliced from 3 exons. Lineage: Eukaryota; Viridiplantae; Streptophyta; Magnoliopsida; Brassicales; Brassicaceae. The record is from RefSeq and is a predicted model, not a curated record.